GACUUAUUACGAAAGGUGGAGGGAGUAGGCCCGAAGAAACCUUGGCAACCGUUCCGUUACAGUACCGGAAAAAUGGUGCUAAUUCCUAUCCCGCUAAGUAUAGGGAAAAGAUAAGUU
RNAcentral lists this non-coding RNA (117 nucleotides) under Chlorobiota bacterium. RNAcentral's name for it is "Chlorobi bacterium SAM-I sequence". It matches the Rfam family "SAM riboswitch aptamer (S box leader)". Rfam says of the family: The SAM riboswitch is found upstream of a number of genes which code for proteins involved in methionine or cysteine biosynthesis in Gram-positive bacteria. The SAM riboswitch acts at the level of transcription termination control. Lineage: Bacteria; Pseudomonadati; Chlorobiota. The record is from RNAcentral.